Molecule: ribosomal RNA, 426 nt
Filed under: uncultured Actinomycetes bacterium
Lineage: Bacteria; Bacillati; Actinomycetota; Actinomycetes
Description: bacterial SSU rRNA
Rfam family: Bacterial small subunit ribosomal RNA
Source: RNAcentral
GCGGCCUAUCAGCUUGUUGGUGAGGUAAUGGCUCACCAAGGCAACGACGGGUAGCCGGCCUGAGAGGGCGACCGGCCACACUGGGACUGAGACACGGCCCAGACUCCCACGGGAGGCAGCAGUGGGGAAUAUUGGGCAAUGGAGGAAACUCUGACCCAGCGACGCCGCGUGCGGGAUGAAGGCCUUCGGGUUGUAAACCGCUUUCAGUAGGGAAGAAGCGAAAGUGACGGUACCUACAAAAGAAGCACCGGCUAACUAUGUGCCAGCAGCCGCGGUAAUACAUAGGGUGCAAGCGUUGUCCGGAAUUAUUGGGCGUAAAGAGCUCGUAGGUCGUUUGUUACGUCGGAUGUGAAAACCUGAGGCUCAACCUCAGGCCUGCAUUCGAUACGGGCAAACUAGAGUUUGGUAGGGGAGACUGGAAUUCCU